CUAGGCUGAAGCCCGCUGGAUUGGGUGUCUAGUUGUUAACUAGACUUUUACGGGAUCGAGGCCCGCCGGUCUAGU
RNAcentral lists this transfer RNA (75 nucleotides) under Cyrtodactylus sp. SR2-2020. Its description in RNAcentral is "tRNA-Asn". Lineage: Eukaryota; Metazoa; Chordata; Lepidosauria; Squamata; Gekkonidae. The record is from RNAcentral.